UUCUACUGCCAUACCACUCUGAACAUGCCCGAUAUAGUCUGAUCUUGGAAGCUCAUCAGGGUCAGGCCUGGUUAAUACUUGCAUGGAAGAAAGGACAAAAGCAAGAGAGAGCUGGAAAGAGUAGCAC
This 127-nucleotide ribosomal RNA is filed under the name Microtus ochrogaster (prairie vole). Lineage: Eukaryota; Metazoa; Chordata; Mammalia; Rodentia; Cricetidae. The record is from RNAcentral.